GUUUAGUGUGUUUCGAAGGGUACUUAAUGGAAUUAUUUGGUAUCAAUUGAUUUUCGAUUUAAUUGGUACCAUUUAAUUCCAUUUCGGAAUUUUCGAAAUGUUCAUGUG
Tribolium castaneum (red flour beetle) is the source of this 108-nucleotide non-coding RNA. The record is from RefSeq and is marked provisional. NCBI's taxonomy places the organism in Eukaryota, Metazoa, Arthropoda, Insecta, Coleoptera, Tenebrionidae.